RNAcentral lists this ribosomal RNA (253 nucleotides) under uncultured bacterium. RNAcentral's name for it is "partial 16S ribosomal RNA". It matches the Rfam family "Bacterial small subunit ribosomal RNA", at positions 524 to 776 of the family's 1533-position model. The record is from RNAcentral.
UACAGGGGGUGCAAACGUUGCUCGGAAUUAUUGGGCGUAAAGCGCGCGUAGGCGGCUACCUAAGUCGGAUGUGAAAGCCCCUGGCUUAACUGGGGAAGUGCACCCGAAACUGAGUAGCUAGAGUGCGAAAGAGGGUCGCGGAAUUCCCGGUGUAGAGGUGAAAUGCGUAGAUAUCUGGAGGAACACCGGUGGCGAAGGCGGCAUCCUGGACCGAUACUGACACUGAGGAGCGAAAGCCAGGGGAGCAAACGGG